CCUACGGGAGGCAGCAGUGGGGAAUAUUGCACAAUGGGGGAAACCCUGAUGCAGCGACGCCGCGUGCGCGAAGAAGGCCUUCGGGUCGUAAAGCUCUGUCCUAAGGGAAGAUAAUGACUGUACCUUAGGAGGAAGCCCCGGCUAACUACGUGCCAGCAGCCGGGGUAAUACGUAGGGGGCGAGUGUGGUCCGGAAUUACUGGGCGUAAAGGGUGCGUAGGCGGUCAUGUAAGCCAGAUGUGAAAGCCCUCGGCUUAACCGAGGUAAGCAUUUGAAACUGCAUAACUUGAGUGCAGAAGAGGAGAGUGAAAUUCCUAGUGGAGCGGUGAGAUGCGUAGAUAUUAGGAAGAACAGCAGUGGCGAAGGCGACUCUCUGGACUGUAACUGACGCUAAGGCACGAAAGCGUGGGGUGCGAACAGGAUUAGAUACCCUAGUAGUC
RNAcentral lists this ribosomal RNA (439 nucleotides) under uncultured bacterium. Its description in RNAcentral is "bacterial SSU rRNA". It matches the Rfam family "Bacterial small subunit ribosomal RNA", at positions 338 to 795 of the family's 1533-position model. The record is from RNAcentral.